AAUACAGUUUCUGUGUGCUUAUUUCAGAGCUGAGCAGCUGGGAACAAACAAGCAGUCUCUGCCAACAAAUAAUAAGAUGUCAAGAUAAUAAAAGAUCUUGUUAAACAUACCAGAAAUGAGAAGAGUACAAAAUAAAAUACAUUAUUAAAAAAACUAAAAUUUGUGGGGAAGUCAAUUUUAAGAAGAAUGAGAAAUAUAAAGAGGAAGUUUGAAGAUUGAAAGAGCCAAAAACCCUGAAGACAGCUGUGAGACUGUUUCCAUUUCUCCUAUAAUGACGAGAUCCACUGGAGGCAGCAGAAGAGAAGGAAAGGCCAAAGCAGGUUGUAUGCUGCAGAGCCGGGAUAAGACUGGAGGAAUGUGUUUGAAGGAGAGGAG
Molecule: non-coding RNA, 375 nt
Organism: Myodes glareolus (Bank vole)
Lineage: Eukaryota; Metazoa; Chordata; Mammalia; Rodentia; Cricetidae
Source: RefSeq, a predicted model, not a curated record